GUUUAGAGUUAAAAGGUGGGGUUUAGGAUUUAGGGUUUAAAGUUUAGGGUUUAGAGUUUAGGGUUUAGGGUUUAGAUUUUAGGGUUUAGGGUUUAGGGUUUAGGGUUUAGAGUUUAGGGUUUAGGGUUUAGAGUUGAGAAAUGAUGUUUUGGGGAUAAGAUUUCAAAUUUUGAAAAAUAAAAAAAUUAAAAUUUUCAAAGGAUAAACUUAAAAAGGUGCUAUUUUGGUCAUUUUAGUUUUUGAGUUCUAUUUUUGUGAUAUAAACUUA
Molecule: long non-coding RNA, 268 nt
Filed under: Brassica napus (rape)
Lineage: Eukaryota; Viridiplantae; Streptophyta; Magnoliopsida; Brassicales; Brassicaceae
Description: long non-coding RNA (BNAP_LNC015817)
Source: RNAcentral